RNAcentral lists this ribosomal RNA (724 nucleotides) under uncultured bacterium. RNAcentral's name for it is "bacterial SSU rRNA". It matches the Rfam family "Bacterial small subunit ribosomal RNA", at positions 28 to 776 of the family's 1533-position model. The record is from RNAcentral.
GAUGAACGCUGACAGAAUGCUUAACACAUGCAAGUCUACUUGAUCCUUCGGGUGAUGGUGGCGGACGGGUGAGUAACGCGUAAAGAACUUGCCCUGCAGUCUAGGACAACAUUUGGAAACGAAUGCUAAUACCGGAUAUUAUGUGAGUUUCGCAUGAAAUUCAUAUGAAAGCUAUAUGCGCUGCAGGAGAGCUUUGCGUCCUAUUAGCUAGUUGGUGAGGUAACGGCUCACCAAGGCGAUGAUAGGUAGCCGGCCUGAGAGGGUGAACGGCCACAAGGGGACUGAGACACGGCCCUUACUCCUACGGGAGGCAGCAGUGGGGAAUAUUGGACAAUGGACCAAAAGUCUGAUCCAGCAAUUCUGUGUGCACGAUGAAGUUUUUCGGAAUGUAAAGUGCUUUCAGUUGGGACGAAGUAAGUGACGGUACCAACAGAAGAAGCGACGGCUAAAUACGUGCCAGCAGCCGCGGUAAUACGUAUGUCGCAAGCGUUAUCCGGAUUUAUUGGGCGUAAAGCGCGUCUAGGCGGUUUGGUAAGUCUGAUGUGAAAAUGCGGGGCUCAACUCCGUAUUGCGUUGGAAACUGCCAAACUAGAGUACUGGAGAGGUGGGCGGAACUACAAGUGUAGAGGUGAAAUUCGUAGAUAUUUGUAGGAAUGCCGAUGGGGAAGCCAGCCCACUGGACAGAUACUGACGCUAAAGUGCGAAAGCGUGGGUAGCAAACAGG